AAAAUACUAAAAUAGUAAUUAAAUAUUUAUUGAAACUUAAAUAAUUUGGCGGUAUUUUAGUUCAUUUAGGGGAAUCUGUUUAAUAAUUGAUAUUCCACGAAUAAAUUUACUUAUUUUAUAAUUUUGUAUAUCGUUGUUAUAAAAAUAUUUUUUAAUGAAAUUAAUGUUUAAAAAUUAAUAUGAAAAAUUAAAUCAAAUCAAGAUGCAGAUUAUAAUUAAGAAUAUAAUGGAUUACAAUAAAUUUAUUUAAAUGGAUUUUAUUUUGUAAUAUUUAAUUGAAGGUGGAUUUAAAUGUAAUUUUAUUUAAUUUAAUAAAAUGAUUAAAAAUUAAAAUAUGU
RNAcentral lists this ribosomal RNA (338 nucleotides) under Sesamia typhae. RNAcentral describes it as "partial 12S ribosomal RNA". Lineage: Eukaryota; Metazoa; Arthropoda; Insecta; Lepidoptera; Noctuidae. The record is from RNAcentral.